UACGGGGGGGGCAAGCGUUGUUCGGAAUUACUGGGCGUAAAGGGUCCGUAGGUGGCUUGCUAAGUCAGACGUGAAAUCCCUCGGCUUAACCGGGGAACUGCGUCUGAGACUGGCGAGCUUGAGUGCAGGAGAGGAACGCGGAAUUCCAGGUGUAGCGGUGAAAUGCGUAGAUAUCUGGAGGAACACCGGUGGCGAAGGCGGCGUUCUGGACUGCAACUGACGCUGAGGAGCGAAAGCCAGGGGAGCAAACGGG
Molecule: ribosomal RNA, 253 nt
Filed under: uncultured bacterium
Lineage: Bacteria
Description: partial 16S ribosomal RNA
Rfam family: Bacterial small subunit ribosomal RNA
Source: RNAcentral